This 997-nucleotide long non-coding RNA is filed under the name Homo sapiens (human). Its description in RNAcentral is "HSALNT0380681". The record is from RNAcentral. Lineage: Eukaryota; Metazoa; Chordata; Mammalia; Primates; Hominidae.
CUUGAAGGGCAUGCGCAGGCUGGCGUCCAGUGCAGUGAAAACCAGCUCUACCCUUUAAGACGAGCUCUUGAGAGGUUGGUUUGAGUCAUGUGCAAGAUUUGUUCUUCAUACAGUCACAACAAAAGGAAGAUAUAAAUAAUUCGUACUCCCACCAUGUUGUUUCCUUCUUUCAUCCUCAGGCCCUAUAAGUGUACAUCUGGGUCAUGCUCUAUGAAGAGACUGUUGUUAUCAAUGAGUUCGAUGCAUAUAUUUGUUAGCACUGACAGAUUCAGACACAGAUAUUUUCCACCUCCAAUGUUCAGAUCUGGUGUAGCUGCUGGGAGCCCUGGGCUGGAUAUGUACCCAGGUGACUCAUGGGGAAGGAUGCACCCUUCUGAGAAGCAUCACCUUUCUCAAGAAGCAUGACAGAGCUCCCGAUAUUAGACUUUCAAGACGUCUACCAGGCCUUCUUUGGAAUAAAUUGUGUCAUUGAAUGGAUAACAUCACUAUUGUAAAACCUCAGAUUGGUGCUCAAGAUAGUUUUCAGACCCUGCACUUGAUGGAUCAGCUGGCACUACUCAGAUCAACACACUGGCUCACCUGGUCUUGUGGCCCCCACCCAGGAAAUGACUCAGCACAAGAGGACAGCUUUGACUCCCUGUGAUUUCAUCUCAGACCCAACCAGUCAGCUCUCCCUACUACUUGGCCCCCUACCCACCAAAUUAUCCUUAAAAAACCCCAGCCUCUAAAUUUUGGGGGUGACUGUUUUGAGUAAUAAUAAAACUCUGGUAUCCCAUUGAGCCAGCUCUGCAUGAAUUAGUUAACUGUUUCUCUCUUGCAGUUCCUCUGUCUUGAUAAAUCAGCCUGUCUGGGCAGUGGGCAAAAUGAACCCCCAACAGGAGGAUUUCAAAUGUAAAGGUAAGGAAAACUAUUACAUGUCCCUGUGUUCUGGCAGCAGGUAUGAGGCUGUGCCAGCCCUCCCUCUUGCUGUGAAGUUGCCUGUGGAUGGGACACUGUG